Molecule: transfer RNA, 67 nt
Filed under: Scirtes sp. 2 ACP-2013
Lineage: Eukaryota; Metazoa; Arthropoda; Insecta; Coleoptera; Scirtidae
Description: tRNA-Arg
Source: RNAcentral
UAAAUAAGAAGUAAAAAAAUUACAUUUAGUUUCGACCUAAAACAGUGGUAUUUAAAUACCCUUAUUU